CGGAAGCGCGACGCUGGAGCUGCGGGGUUACCAUGGGAACCGAACCGCCGCGCCUCGCCCAGGACAGGUACACUUAGAGGCCUUUUGUGUCCAGCUGGGCAGAAGUGCUGCACCACAGGCUGUGGUCGGAUCUGCUGAGACAUUCCUAAGGAGUUUGGUGGUGAAUGUCCUGCUGACCCCCUUCCGUGUGAGGAGCUGUGUGAUGGGGAUGCAUCCUGUCCCCAGGGGCAUAAAUGCUGCAGCACCGGCUGUGGCCGCACCUGCCUUGGAGACAUUGAGGGAGGGCGGGGCGGUGAUUGUCCAAAAGUUCUGGUGGGCCUGUGCAUUGUUGGCUGUGUGAUGGAUGAGAAUUGUCAAGCUGGAGAAAAAUGUUGCAAGUCAGGCUGUGGCCGCUUCUGUGUCCCACCAGUCCUGCCCCCAAAACUGACCACGAACCCCAACUGGACUGUGAGGUCUGAUUCUGAAUUAG
RNAcentral lists this small RNA (469 nucleotides) under Pongo abelii (Sumatran orangutan). Its description in RNAcentral is "processed transcript". The record is from RNAcentral. Lineage: Eukaryota; Metazoa; Chordata; Mammalia; Primates; Hominidae.